UUUUAAAUCAGUACGGGUAAGGCGGCGGUCGUGGUAGGAGGGCUGGAUCUACGUCGGACCAACUGGGUGCCUGGGUUUGAAAGCGGUUAAGAUCCCGUGGGUCGCUCUCCUUUGAGCCCAGGCUGAGAUCCAAAGAAAGGAAGCAACUCCGUACGUGCACAGAGGCACGCCUUUCUCCACCUGCCUUGGACGUUCAGCCAUGAAUCCAGAUGUAUUAAGACAUCAUACAAGACAUCAAAGCAGCAUUGCAGCACAUGAAAAUGAGUGAGGAGCCAAUAACUCAGAGUAGUGUGUUUAUGCAAAAGCUGAUACGGCAUUAUCUGUUGAAAACCGAGUCGGGCGAUUGGGAAUGGAUCUGGAUGGAAGAUCCAUGGACUCACAAGUGGGAGCAGGUGCGGGUGCCGCGCAAGGAAGCUGAAAAGAGACGACAGCUAGGUCUCAAACCUCGUCCCUCGUAUUGGGGAGAGACAGAAGCCAAAGAGUGGAAACGGAAACUGAGAGAAUAGAGAGAAGCUGUGGCCCGUGAGUUGUGAUUGAUUUCUUUCCCCUUCUGACUUGGUGGCCUCUGUGUCUACUUAAUUUGUGAUGUCCAGAUAUUUUCCAUUGAAGGAUCCCUUCUCUCCUUUCUUAUCAUUCUUUGUCUUGUUGCGUAGUUAUGCAAAAGCUGAUACGGCAUUAUCUGUUGAAAACCAAGUCAUGCAACUUGGCAUGUAGCAGACAAAGUCUAUCGAGAUUUCUUAAUGUACAACUAUUUGCUGCUAAAUGUUACGACUUUUGUGUAACUGCACAACAGGAUUUUGACCUUUCUCUUUAAAUUGGAGCUGGCAUCACCUGAAAUAGAGGAACGUUUUCA
This 853-nucleotide long non-coding RNA is filed under the name Pogona vitticeps (central bearded dragon). Its description in RNAcentral is "lncRNA (ENSPVIG00000006709.1)". Lineage: Eukaryota; Metazoa; Chordata; Lepidosauria; Squamata; Agamidae. The record is from RNAcentral.